AAAUUCUGAAAGGUAAAGAAUUGCUCAAAUUCAGUUCGUGGUGUACUAUAUGGACAGGUCCCUGCAAUUUUCCAAUCUGCUCUACAGCGUUACGAUUUCCGGGUAGCCUUGAAUUACUAAUCACGCCAGAUGUACUUGGCUCUUUUUCCGAGAUGAGUUAAGGUCUGCUACAUGCUGCCCCCUGCUGCAAACGUAUUUUUAAAAAAGAGGCAACAGGACUGAACACGCAGAAGCCAAACCUCUUAUCACUUGCUGCGUGAGGCGUCAUAAUUUAUUAGCGUUGCUAAUAACGUGCACGACCAAACAUUCCAGACGGAGAAAAGAACCAGCCUGAAAAGUUUCUUAUCGAUGAACAGGCAAACGGGGUCAAGGAAUCUAACCUCAAAGGGAGGUCGGGAUACAAGGCACCCGCACCCGCACCCGAAGCACCAACAAAUAAGCCACGCGGAAUGAACAGCUAGUAACGGAUGGAGUUUCCGCCCAGCCGUGACAAGGAGCGCUUGAGCUCCUUCCCUUGAAGUCCGGGAGAGUCGAGUCCUGCUGCGCCGUCUCCCGAGAGACUAGAAUGCAAAACAUUUCACGUCACAAUGCACAGAGAACAUCGGUUCUCCAAGCAACCCGUGGCGUUUUAAAGGGGCCGUCUGAAGUGCAGUGAGAGAGAGUUGGCGCGCGGAUGAUGGAAGGAUUUUCUCAGACCCCACGGAAAAAUCGGGAUGGAGGCAACGAUUCAGAUAGCAAAGAUGCCGGAGAAGGAAGUUCAUCUUCUGAAGCUGAUAAUUCUGAUAAGUCUUCUAAAGAAAUCGUAAUAGGAGAAAUAAUGGUAGUCCAGAUAUGAGAUCAGAUAGAGGUUCUUCAGAGAAAAGAUGGAGUUGUCUUCCACAAGUGCCACAGGGAUAUCAACCUCAAGCACAGG
Long non-coding RNA from Thamnophis elegans (Western terrestrial garter snake), 913 nucleotides. RefSeq lists it as uncharacterized. The transcript is spliced from 3 exons. The record is from RefSeq and is a predicted model, not a curated record. Lineage: Eukaryota; Metazoa; Chordata; Lepidosauria; Squamata; Natricidae.